UGAAGAAUGUGAUGAAAGUUGUCGAUUAUGUGUGAUGAUUCUUUAGAUUCAAUUGAUCGAUAAAAACUUCAAUUCGCUACGUUCUUUCUGAUUCUUCA
This is a small nucleolar RNA of Arabidopsis thaliana (thale cress), 98 nucleotides long. It matches the Rfam family "Small nucleolar RNA R32/R81/Z41". Rfam says of the family: This family contains the related snoRNAs R32, R81 and Z41 which are members of the C/D class of snoRNA containing the C (UGAUGA) and D (CUGA) box motifs. Most of the members of the box C/D family function in directing site-specific 2'-O-methylation of substrate RNAs. NCBI's taxonomy places the organism in Eukaryota, Viridiplantae, Streptophyta, Magnoliopsida, Brassicales, Brassicaceae. The record is from Rfam.